GCUUUAAAAAAAAAAUCAACACACACACACAGUAUAUAUGUAGCUUUAUCUGCACAUGAGUGUACUACAACAAACCUUCUGCUGGCACAUAUACUCAAAUGUCGUUUGCUUCUCAAUGUGUGUGUGCGUGUGUAUGGCUGUGUUCGGCUACUUCUGCUGAGGAAGAGAAAGAAGAUGAUGAUUCGACUAGAGACGCGAGAGUCACCCUUAAGAAGGGUCAAAGUGGGGGGCUGACUGGCAAGCAAGCCAGCAAGCAAGCAGGCAGGCAGGCAACAACAUUGGGGCAGGCGGCAAUCGAAAGGAGAAAAAAUUUUGCAAUAUAAAAAUGGAACAGCGAAUAAAUGAAACAAACCAACGAACUGACUGGAACGAAAAGGUAGAAGGAGAUAGAAAGUGCGAGCGUCGGCAAAGACGACUAGCGUCUGACUAUUGGAGCAUGGUUAAAAUUCCGCGACACCAUUGCCACACCAUAAUAUCAGCGCGCCCAACAACUUGGAUCGGCAUUCGAUUGUUUGUGCGAGUAUAGUAUGCCGGUCUAACCGUCUGCCAUCGAAGGUUCGUCUGUUUGCAGUCAUACAGUGAAGUGAAAUAUAAGCAAGUUAAAUAAAAACGCAGAUGCAGAAACGAACGAACUCUUCAAAAAGUCUGUAUCCCAUUACAUACAUACAUAUAUACACACACAGCAAUACAUACGUACUACAUAAGCCAUAUACAUAUGUAUGUAUGUAAAAAAGUGUGUGUGUAAAAAACUGUGGCGAUGCUGGAAGUAAGACUUACUACCACCACACCUUAUCAAAUGGUCAAAGGACGAAUGGGAGUAUUGAUUAAUUGGAAACAAGAACAUCAAUGGGAUUAUAAUAAUUUUAGCUGUUGCUAAGUGACUUCAAGUUUAUAUACUUAUGGAGCAUGCCAGUCUUAUUAGAAAAUCAUCUCACGGUAAAACAAAGGCACUGCAAAAGACAUCCCCCAAAAUAAAAUUUUCUCCGAUUAAGCAAUUCUCCAAAUCAAAAAAAAAAAAAAUCAAUACAAACACAAAUAUAAAGAACAUCCAUACAUAGGAAUUAACUAAUGAAAACCUGGAUAUUAUUUUCGAAUGUCCUGAAACCCUUGGACAGCAGUUAAGUAAAUGCAAAUGGUCAAAUAGCACUAUAAUAUGUAAAAAUGUAAUGUGACAUCACGAAAACUAGUUAAAUAUUAUAAUUUCAAAAAUUGUUUGACAAUUUGACAUCUGUAUAGACAUAAUCUAGUCUCUUUUCUCCCCAAGAAGCUGCUCAUUUGUCCUAACCGCCGAUAUCUGACCACUAUAGCAUAUAGGUUCGGUUAGGCUUUCACGGCAAACAUAGAUCUACUGGUCCUCAGCAAGGCCAGAUGGAGGUUCAAUUUACUUUGAGGUGAAGUAUUCGUCAUACAGGACUUCAACGCUUUUUGCGAACUUUAUAAGCGAUUUUAUAUCUAUGUACGUUUGAUACUUUGUCUAGUUGCUUUUAUUCCGAAGCUCCUAGAUACUUAAGAUGAGUUCUAGAUAGUGCUGGACAAAAGUAUAGGAGGUGUUCCAACGUCUCUCUCAAGCCGACUCGCAUGUGAUGCCAUUAGGUUGGGAUCUGUCAAAAUGCCAACAGCUGCGCGGCAGUACUUUCGAAACCGCAUGAGCAAAAUGCAUACGAGUUUUCUUAGGAGGCUCUUGCACAUCAUCUUGGCGAUUCUGCAUGUAUAGUACAUUCUAUAUAUUUUUUCUCUCGCGGAUGAGAACGCCUGUCAGCUUUUUCGGAAAUUCCAUUGCAUAUCGAUUUUAGUGACUUCCGUAUUUCCUUCACUUAUUCGGUAGCCAGACGGAUGAAACUUUUGGUAAUCUUAUCAGCUGUUUCAUUUCCCGGAAUUCCUUUGUGGUCUGGAACCCAGUAUAUAUGCAAUCGCGUUCCGUCAAUUGCUACAUCAAGUGUCUCCCUGUUUCUAAGGACAUUCUCUGACGUAGCGCAAUAGAGAUUAUUAAUCUUUUUUAUAUGGUUUCCUGCACCAAUUUCUCAAUUCACAAGACUCGCACCUGGAAGUUACUGCAAUAUUCCGGAAACUUGAAAGGUUGCCUGAGAUCUAGCUCAGAGCAAUAGAUUCCGGCUCCCACUUCUUUAUCCUUGUUUGAUCCGUCUGUAUAGAUAUUGUAAGUUCCGCUGGUGAGUCGCAUGCUCCUGUGACAUCCACUCACCUUUACUGUGACCUGGCACUUUCUCUCCCAAAUAGAGCGUGUGGGUAUGUGCUCUAAUUUGUCCAACAAUCACCUGCUUAUUUAUCUAUGACCGAAGAUCCUUAUAGAGAAUUCACCUAAUACCGUCAAUCUUGCAGCCGAUUUUACCGCAGAGCAUUGUCGAUUGGUGGUAGGUAGAGCAACCUUUCUAGUGCAGCCAUUGGAGUGGUUCUUAGUGAUCCCGUUAUGCGUUCGAUUGGUUUCCUCUAUGAGAUUUUGUUCAUAGCUGUCACCACACCAGUGGAUUGUAAAGGAAAAUUGGCUUGACUACUGCUGUGUAACACCAAUGCUUAAGGCCAGAAGCUAGAUCUCAUCAAGUCGACUCCCAAGUAGGUAUGCUCCUUAAUUGUUAAUGCAGUGCAGACUAUAGUUAAUAGCUGCCAUACAAACUGAAGAUCAAAAUCAAGCUCUUGUAUAAAAACUUUUCUAUUUCUCAAGAUAUCUUUACGAAAUUUGGCAUUGUAUAUUGUCUAAGGAAAUGUUGCAAACUCCGAAAAAAAUUGUUUAGAUUGGAUCACUAUAGAUUGUAGCUGCCAUACAAACUGAACGAAAAAGUCCUUGUAAGGAAAAUUUUUUUAUUUGACAAGGUAUCUUCACAAGUUUUGGCAAGACAACGGUACAACCUCCAAUCAGAAAUCAAGUAUUAAUUAUUCUCUCAAGAUCCACAAUAAAAAAGAUGAACGUAUUUGGGAAAAUGGAAAUUGCCUUGCUCUUUAUUAACCACUUAAAAAGAAAAAAACUAAAAUUUCUUCUCUUUUUUGGCACACCAUACCUAAAAAUAUAGUAAUAAUUCUAGAUCAUGCGAUAUUUAACAAUAUCAACGCUUUAUUUAAUCCAAACUCAAAAAAAUGUCGUUAUAUAAAACUGUUCGGGCUGUAUUGUUUACUCUUUUCUUAUUGACUUUUUAGUUUUUUAACACAUAAUGUAUUUUUAU
This 3173-nucleotide long non-coding RNA is filed under the name Bactrocera tryoni. Its description in RNAcentral is "uncharacterized LOC120771739". Lineage: Eukaryota; Metazoa; Arthropoda; Insecta; Diptera; Tephritidae. The record is from RNAcentral.